AUGUAAAGCUCUAUCAGCAGGGAAGAAAAUGACGGUACCUGACUAAGAAGCCCCGGCUAACUACGUGCCAGCAGCCGCGGUAAUACGUAGGGGGCAAGCGUUAUCCGGAUUUACUGGGUGUAAAGGGAGCGUAAACUGCACUGCAAGUCUGGAGUGAAAGCCCGGGGCUCAACCCCGGGACUGCUUUGGAAACUGUGGUGCUAGAGUGCAGGAGAGGUAAGUGGAAUUCCUAGUGUAGCGGUGAAAUGCGUAUAUAUUAGGAGGAACACCAGUGGCGAAGGCGGCUUACUGGACUGUAACUGACGUUGAGGCUCGAAAGCGUGGGGAGCAAACAGGAUUAGAUACCCUGGUAGUCCACGCCAUAAACGAUGAAUACUAGGUGUUGGGGAGCAAAGCUCUUCGGUGCCGCCGCUAACGCAAUAAGUAUUCCACCUGGGGAGUACGUUC
Molecule: ribosomal RNA, 447 nt
Filed under: uncultured Desulfotomaculum sp.
Lineage: Bacteria; Bacillati; Bacillota; Clostridia; Eubacteriales; Desulfotomaculaceae
Description: bacterial SSU rRNA
Rfam family: Bacterial small subunit ribosomal RNA
Source: RNAcentral